AGGAGAACUCACUAAUCCCUAACUAACUUUAAAAAUAAAUUAAAUUAAAUUGCGAUCCACCUUUGAUUGUUAAUUAGCUGCACCCCCUUCACCCGAGACAUUAUCGCCUGUGCUUUACAGACAUGUCUCUUCUUUCCCGGCCCUCCCCCUCUCUCUCUAAGCUUGUCCAUCCCUAGCUCUCUCUCUCUAUCUCCUUCGAUCCACUGUGCAUGCAACACUGCCUUUUAUGAUCAAUACCGUGCAUCUUUCCCUGGAUAUAGCUCUGCUUUUGCGUCCUCGGGUGCGACCCACUACGUGAGCUACUGCACCCACUGCCGAUCCACUGUGCGUGAGCUGCUAUCUAUCCCCUCGCUAUUGCCCUCGCACAAGCUGCUGCCCCUGCUGCACAGUACAUGCCACUUCCACAUUGCCUUGGUGCAGCGAGCUGCUGCCCUUGCCCCUGCUACACAAGUAGCCAUUGGGACCGCCUCCCGAUCCCUUAGCUACUACCCUCUACUCCCGCACACAACUACUUCACUAGCUAUUGCCCUCUGCCCUCGCACACAGCUACUACCCUUUAGAGGGCAAAUCUGCCUCCGCAGAGCAUCGACCUUCUGCCUGCACACAGUACCGGCGACCGCCUCCCAAUCCCCUCUAGUCUAGAUCUAAUUUCUAUCCUCCCGAGCUCCCUCUUGGAGUUGACUUCCCCAAUCUUGAUCGAUCCGGCUAUAUAUCACAGGUUCGUGGAUUGCAUUUUGGAGCGUUCUCCUAUAUUGAGCUUACGACGAGGUUGAGGUAUGCUCGAAUUUCGAUAAAUAUAUUUAAAAUGCAAAUCAAGUACUGAUUGUUGAUGACUUUAAGUUAGUCGCCUUUAUGAAUUAAAUAAGGGGUUUUUACCUAAAAUGGCAUAUGGUUUGUCCGUUUUGUCAAAUCUAUCAUAUGCUUUUUUUUUGUCAAAUCUAUCCCAUGGUUUACUUUUUGCAUCAAAUCUAUCCCGACGUUAUAUUUUCUGUUAACAUCCAACGGCCGUGCUGACGUGGCACGUGGAGAGAUAGUGGGCCACACUUGCCACGUAGGCGCCACGUCAGCACGGCCGUUAGAUGUCGACGGAAAAGAUAACGCCGGGAUAGAUUUGACAAAAAAAAAGCAUAUGAUAAAUUUGAUAAAACGGACAAACCAUGGGCCAUUUUAGGUAAAUACCCCAUUAAAUAAUUGUGGAGAAGGAGGAUGGGCUUUGGGGAAAUGUUGUAUCUUCUCAUUGUGGAUUUGGUUAUUCCUUAUUAAUUGCUACAAAGUAAUAAUGAUGCUAUCAUUCCUAAA
Non-coding RNA from Punica granatum (pomegranate), 1299 nucleotides. The record is from RefSeq and is a predicted model, not a curated record. Lineage: Eukaryota; Viridiplantae; Streptophyta; Magnoliopsida; Myrtales; Lythraceae.